UAGCUGAACAGGAACUGAAUAAGGCAAUAAUGGAGUGACACAAAGCACUGUAUCUUUUCCUUCUAAAAUGCUUGUGUAAUGUUGAAUGAAGAUCUGCAAACUAAAGCAUAUUAUUCUAUGUGCAUCAAUCUCUUCACUUGGACCUCUGCAGAUUAUCUCCUCCAAAUCCUUAGAAUUUUCAAUUGCGUCCACAAGGAAACUGCAAAAUAAGGACAGAGACGACCACAAUGAGU
RNAcentral lists this long non-coding RNA (233 nucleotides) under Nicotiana benthamiana. Its description in RNAcentral is "long non-coding RNA (NBEN_LNC000944)". The record is from RNAcentral. Lineage: Eukaryota; Viridiplantae; Streptophyta; Magnoliopsida; Solanales; Solanaceae.